UACAGAAGCCCCAAGUGUUAUCCGGAAUUACUGGGCGUAAAGGGUCCGCAGGUGGUUGUGUUAGUCCUCUGUAAAAUCUCUCCGCUCAACGGGGAGUCGGCAGGGGAAACGGCACAACUCGAGGAUGUGAGAGGUUGAGGGAACUCACGGUGUAGGGGUGAAAUCCGUUGAUAUCGUGGGGAACACCAAAGGCGAAGGCACUCAACUGGCACAUUCCUGACACUCAUGGACGAAAGCUAGGGUAGCGAACGGG
This 253-nucleotide unclassified non-coding RNA is filed under the name uncultured Parcubacteria group bacterium. RNAcentral describes it as "contains 16S-23S intergenic spacer region". It matches the Rfam family "Bacterial small subunit ribosomal RNA", at positions 524 to 776 of the family's 1533-position model. The record is from RNAcentral.